GAUUGGAGUGGAGGGUGAACCACGCUGGAGAAGCAGGGCACAUGCUUGACCUCUCGAAAUUAAUCUUCUGAUCGAGCAUAUGCUCUGGCUCUCCAGCAUGGAUUCUUUCUCCUACAAUU
Molecule: microRNA precursor, 119 nt
Filed under: Lotus japonicus
Lineage: Eukaryota; Viridiplantae; Streptophyta; Magnoliopsida; Fabales; Fabaceae
Description: miR164 stem-loop (lja-MIR164)
Gene: lja-MIR164
Source: miRBase by way of RNAcentral